This 275-nucleotide unclassified non-coding RNA is filed under the name Hevea brasiliensis (rubber tree). Lineage: Eukaryota; Viridiplantae; Streptophyta; Magnoliopsida; Malpighiales; Euphorbiaceae. The record is from RNAcentral.
CGAUUUUCGAACAACUUAUCUAAUGCAACAAACUUCCUUGUAGCAAUAAAAAGAUGUUUAGCAACAUCAUGUUGGUUUCUUGGUAUCUCUUCUGGAUUUGAAGCAAUACUAAAUCCAGUUCCAAUAGGAUUAUCAAGAAAAAGUACCCCAAAUAAACGAUUCCAUGAACCAGGAUUAGGUUUGAGCGUAAGAUGUUCGACAUUUUGCCUCAGAGAAGACGAAACACGAAAAGGGCCAAGUUCAUAAAAGUUCCCAAGCAUGGAAGAACAUCCAGG